Orcinus orca (killer whale) is the source of this 292-nucleotide long non-coding RNA. RefSeq lists it as uncharacterized. The record is from RefSeq and is a predicted model, not a curated record. The transcript has 2 exons. Lineage: Eukaryota; Metazoa; Chordata; Mammalia; Artiodactyla; Delphinidae.
CAAAGGAAGCGGACCAUUCUAUAAAGUUAAGAGGAAAAAAAAAAAAUCAGUCUUAGAUCUUUAAGUACAGUCUACAAAAAUAACCUGCGAGCAUCAGAUUUACAUAGAAUGCAUGAAGACUAUAAAGUAGAUACCUGGAAAGUAUUAGGUAUGUCCAUUUUACUUCUGAGAAACUUUCUUAGGUGCAUCACAGUCAUUGCUGCUGGGCAUCGUAAAUACCUUUUAUCAUUCACCUAAGAGCAUAUUUAAAAAAAAUAAUUUUUUAAAAUUCCUAACUUUAAGAUUUUUUUUU